RNAcentral lists this ribosomal RNA (2932 nucleotides) under Klebsiella aerogenes. Its description in RNAcentral is "23S ribosomal RNA". It matches the Rfam family "Bacterial large subunit ribosomal RNA". Lineage: Bacteria; Pseudomonadati; Pseudomonadota; Gammaproteobacteria; Enterobacterales; Enterobacteriaceae. The record is from RNAcentral.
GGGUUGUGAGGUUAAGCGACUAAGCGUACACGGUGGAUGCCCUGGCAGUCAGAGGCGAUGAAGGACGUGCUAAUCUGCGAAAAGCGUCGGUAAGGUGAUAUGAACCGUUACAGCCGGCGAUGUCCGAAUGGGGAAACCCAGUGCAAUUCGUUGCACUAUCGUUAACUGAAUACAUAGGUUAACGAGGCGAACCGGGGGAACUGAAACAUCUAAGUACCCCGAGGAAAAGAAAUCAACCGAGAUUCCCCCAGUAGCGGCGAGCGAACGGGGAGCAGCCCAGAGUCUGAAUCAGCUUGUGUGUUAGUGGAACGGUCUGGAAAGUCCGACGGUACAGGGUGAUAGUCCCGUACACCAAAAUGCACAGGUUGUGAACUCGAAGAGUAGGGCGGGACACGUGGUAUCCUGUCUGAAUAUGGGGGGACCAUCCUCCAAGGCUAAAUACUCCUGACUGACCGAUAGUGAACCAGUACCGUGAGGGAAAGGCGAAAAGAACCCCGGCGAGGGGAGUGAAAAAGAACCUGAAACCGUGUACGUACAAGCAGUGGGAGCACCUUCGGGUGUGACUGCGUACCUUUUGUAUAAUGGGUCAGCGACUUAUAUUCUGUAGCAAGGUUAACCGUAUAGGGGAGCCGCAGGGAAACCGAGUCUUAACUGGGCGUUAAGUUGCAGGGUAUAGACCCGAAACCCGGUGAUCUAGCCAUGGGCAGGUUGAAGGUUGGGUAACACUAACUGGAGGACCGAACCGACUAAUGUUGAAAAAUUAGCGGAUGACUUGUGGCUGGGGGUGAAAGGCCAAUCAAACCGGGAGAUAGCUGGUUCUCCCCGAAAGCUAUUUAGGUAGCGCCUCGUGAACUCAUCUUCGGGGGUAGAGCACUGUUUCGGCUAGGGGGUCAUCCCGACUUACCAACCCGAUGCAAACUACGAAUACCGAAGAAUGUUAUCACGGGAGACACACGGCGGGUGCUAACGUCCGUCGUGAAGAGGGAAACAACCCAGACCGCCAGCUAAGGUCCCAAAGUCACAGUUAAGUGGGAAACGAUGUGGGAAGGCACAGACAGCCAGGAUGUUGGCUUAGAAGCAGCCAUCAUUUAAAGAAAGCGUAAUAGCUCACUGGUCGAGUCGGCCUGCGCGGAAGAUGUAACGGGGCUAAACUGUGCACCGAAGCUGCGGCAGCGACACUAUGUGUUGUUGGGUAGGGGAGCGUUCUGUAAGCCUGCGAAGGUGGCCUGUGAGGGUUGCUGGAGGUAUCAGAAGUGCGAAUGCUGACAUAAGUAACGAUAAUGCGGGUGAAAAGCCCGCACGCCGGAAGACCAAGGGUUCCUGUCCAACGUUAAUCGGGGCAGGGUGAGUCGACCCCUAAGGCGAGGCCGAAAGGCGUAGUCGAUGGGAAACAGGUUAAUAUUCCUGUACUUGGUGUUACUGCGAAGGGGGGACGGAGAAGGCUAUGUUAGCCGGGCGACGGUUGUCCCGGUUUAAGCAUGUAGGCGGAGGUUCCAGGUAAAUCCGGUACCUUAUUAACGCUGAGGUGUGAUGACGAGGCACUACGGUGCUGAAGUAACAAAUGCCCUGCUUCCAGGAAAAGCCUCUAAGCAUCAGGUAACAUUAAAUCGUACCCCAAACCGACACAGGUGGUCAGGUAGAGAAUACCAAGGCGCUUGAGAGAACUCGGGUGAAGGAACUAGGCAAAAUGGUGCCGUAACUUCGGGAGAAGGCACGCUGAUAUGUAGGUGAAGCCCCUGCGGGUGGAGCUGAAAUCAGUCGAAGAUACCAGCUGGCUGCAACUGUUUAUUAAAAACACAGCACUGUGCAAACACGAAAGUGGACGUAUACGGUGUGACGCCUGCCCGGUGCCGGAAGGUUAAUUGAUGGGGUUAUCCGUAAGGAGAAGCUCUUGAUCGAAGCCCCGGUAAACGGCGGCCGUAACUAUAACGGUCCUAAGGUAGCGAAAUUCCUUGUCGGGUAAGUUCCGACCUGCACGAAUGGCGUAAUGAUGGCCAGGCUGUCUCCACCCGAGACUCAGUGAAAUUGAACUCGCUGUGAAGAUGCAGUGUACCCGCGGCAAGACGGAAAGACCCCGUGAACCUUUACUAUAGCUUGACACUGAACAUUGAGCCUUGAUGUGUAGGAUAGGUGGGAGGCUUUGAAGCGUGGACGCCAGUCUGCGUGGAGCCAACCUUGAAAUACCACCCUUUAAUGUUUGAUGUUCUAACGUUGGCCCCUAAUCGGGGUUGCGGACAGUGUCUGGUGGGUAGUUUGACUGGGGCGGUCUCCUCCCAAAGAGUAACGGAGGAGCACGAAGGUUAGCUAAUCCUGGUCGGACAUCAGGAGGUUAGUGCAAUGGCAUAAGCUAGCUUGACUGCGAGCGUGACGGCGCGAGCAGGUGCGAAAGCAGGUCAUAGUGAUCCGGUGGUUCUGAAUGGAAGGGCCAUCGCUCAACGGAUAAAAGGUACUCCGGGGAUAACAGGCUGAUACCGCCCAAGAGUUCAUAUCGACGGCGGUGUUUGGCACCUCGAUGUCGGCUCAUCACAUCCUGGGGCUGAAGUAGGUCCCAAGGGUAUGGCUGUUCGCCAUUUAAAGUGGUACGCGAGCUGGGUUUAGAACGUCGUGAGACAGUUCGGUCCCUAUCUGCCGUGGGCGCUGGAGAAUUGAGGGGGGCUGCUCCUAGUACGAGAGGACCGGAGUGGACGCAUCACUGGUGUUCGGGUUGUCAUGCCAAUGGCAUUGCCCGGUAGCUAAAUGCGGAAGAGAUAAGUGCUGAAAGCAUCUAAGCACGAAACUUGCCCCGAGAUGAGUUCUCCCUGAGACUUUAAGUCUCCUGAAGGAACGUUAAAGACGAUGACGUUGAUAGGUCGGGUGUGUAAGCGUAGCGAUACGUUGAGCUAACCGAUACUAAUGAACCGUGAGGCUUAACCUUACAACGCCGAAGGUGUUU